AGUGAACGCUGGCGGUAGGCCUAACACAUGCAAGUCGAACGGCAGCACAGUAAGAGCUUGCUCUUACGGGUGGCGAGUGGCGGACGGGUGAGGAAUACAUCGGAAUCUACUUUUUCGUGGGGGAUAACGUAGGGAAACUUACGCUAAUACCGUAUACGACCUACGGGUGAAAGCAGGGGAUCUUCGGACCUUGCGCGAUUGAAUGAGCCGAUGUCGGAUUAGCUAGUUGGCGGGGUAAAGGCCCACCAAGGCGACGAUCCGUAGCUGGUCUGAGAGGAUGAUCAGCCACACUGGAACUGAGACACGGUCCAGACUCCUACGGGAGGCAGCAGUGGGGAAUAUUGGACAAUGGGCGCAAGCCUGAUCCAGCUAUACCGCGUGGGUGAAGAAGGCCUUCGGGUUGUAAAGCCCUUUUGUUGGGAAAGAAAAGCAGCAGGUUAAUACCCCGCUGUUCUGACGGUACCCAAAGAAUAAGCACCGGCUAACUUCGUG
Molecule: ribosomal RNA, 492 nt
Filed under: uncultured bacterium
Lineage: Bacteria
Description: partial 16S ribosomal RNA
Rfam family: Bacterial small subunit ribosomal RNA
Source: RNAcentral